This 2407-nucleotide long non-coding RNA is filed under the name Mus musculus (house mouse). RNAcentral's name for it is "predicted gene 10824". Lineage: Eukaryota; Metazoa; Chordata; Mammalia; Rodentia; Muridae. The record is from RNAcentral.
AUUCUCUCCCCUCUCCCCUCCCAGCUCUACUGGCUUGGGACAAAGAUAGUCUCUACUCCUUUGCAACCGCAUCUUAAAUUUUGGCACUGGAACCUAGGCUGGGUACCAGGCAGCCAGGGAGUUGCAAACUUUGGGGAAGAAGUGAGAACAAGAGGAGCAGGGAAGAAGGGGAACAUGGGAACACGGAUGAGAAAGCUGGAUCUGGCCCUCUGAGAAAACAGCCCCGUGUGGAGCCAGGACUUUGGUUUCUCAUGACCUUUCUCCUCAAGCCGAGGCUUCAGAUUAUAACUAGGAUGAACAAAGACUUUAAAAUCGUGUAUGUCUCCUGUUUAUGGAGAAAAAGCUUCUAUGGGGCCACCCGCGCAGAGUGCGCAAAACGUCAAGAAUUUACUUGGCUGGUAAAAACGUGACUAGAAACUUGGGAAUUUUCCUGGGCUAACCGCAGCCUGACUUCUGGUGGUAACACUAACCUUCCUUCCUCUGCCAGAAUCCCUGGGUCCGUCUGGCGAGGGCCCCAUCUCUUAGGUGGAAGGGAAGGCAGGUGAGCGUAUGAGCAGGUGUCACCACCUAGAGUUUGAACUGAACUCUUGAAAGUCAAGUUGGGAUAGGUCUGAGGCGUCGCCAGACGCCUUGAAAUAUCAUCCAGUGAAAGUGUGCAAACGACACAGAUGAAGAGUCACUGGACAGCGGAGUUUGCACCUGGGGCUCGGUGGCUUCUCAGCUGUGACAAACCCCUGGAAUAGGUGUUUCCCGGAAGAUCUCACGAAGGCUCCGCCCCGCGUGGUCCUUACGUGGGCUGGAGUCCUGAGUAGAACUUAUCCUAACCAGGUGGAGAUUUAAAUGACUGCAUCCACUCCCAAGAUUUAUUGCAAGAGUGAUUGAUGUUAUAAACCAGGAAAGGACUCUUCCCACAGCAGGGAUGACAGAAAUAUCAAGUUGAAGUUGCCUUUGUCUGCAUGCAACGCGUAAGCCAGUGCUACAACACAGACAGCUUUGAGAGAACACCCACCAAGCCUGCUCGAUGGUCCCUGCAGAUUUCCAAACCAACCUUCCUUGGGUUGCACAGCCAUCUCUUUUCUCAGUUUCAGUAGGACCCGAAAGACAUCUGCAAAGUGGCCACAAGUCUCCUAAUGAGGUGGUGAUAAAGACUAUUGAUUGGGGCAUUGUUACAUACCAGAUUGCUAAGCUGUGGCAAUUUUUAUCUUCCUUCACCUUUGUCUUUUCCCUCUUUUGGGUGUGUGUGUGUGACAGAGACAACCACAGAAAUGCACACAUUCCUCUGAAGACUGCUGCUGUUUCUUCUGUUUUGUUUUGUUUUGUUUUGUUUUUCAGUGUUGGAAACUUAAAACUAACAGUUUCUGGAGGGGAGCAUAGCUAGUCUUUUAUCAUAACCAAGUUUUUAUGACUGCAAUUAAUUUUUCUUUAUAGCAAUGUAAGCAAUAAUUAAGUCUCUUGUUCAUUUAUCUCCCGGUGAUAUACUCAGGCUGGGAAGGAGUCGUGGGUUGAUAAUGAGGCUUGAGAGAGUCUGAAUUUUUGCAAGAAAUGACCACCAGUUUGGGGAUAGGAUGCGCAGAGGGCUGCCAGUUAGUUAUCUUGAUGCCAAAUUCUGAAGAAAGGAAAUUAAUAAUACUUCUUUUUUCCCCCCUGCUUGAAUUUUGUAUCUAUCUCUGCUAAUAAACACGGAGGGACAGAUGGAUGGGGAAGUGAACGAUGGCUGGAUUCCACUGAGCAGAUCAGCUAGGCUGUAACUUAAGCUCUGCCAAAUUCUCCCCAAAUAUAAACUAUAUUCUGUGAGAAGAAAAGCACUUCGAGGAAGCUAAUUAACCCUUACAACAACUGGAGGAUUGCUUUGAACAUGGUCACUUCGCUGCUGUAAACAGAAGAUUCAAGGUUUGAACACAGCAGGUAGAUUCAUCCUUACCUUGUUUUUAAACCACAGCUCAUGUAGGCAUCUGGCCAGUUUAUCCUGUACCUCUAACAAACUGUCUCCCUAGGAAGGCUCUCUUUGAGAGAUUUUAGUGCUAAGGAAAAUUUAUCUGCAGAAGUUGUAAAAAGAAGAUUAGAGGAGGAAUGUGUCCUUGAACUUCACUCCUGCUUUAUCCUCGGGAGCGCUCUCAGGAAGUUCAUACUUGAUUCUGUUGCAUGUAGAUGGUUUGCUUCCUUUUUUAUGGGAAGGAAAACAUCUCAGGCUUCCUUUGAACUGAAUUCUAUGCCGUAACCUUACGUUCUGGGGCAUGGGGGAAGUCUUCGUUUAAAUUGAAGUGUUUGUCCUUUCCUUUCACUCUUAGUUCAGAGCUAGCAGGGAUCCUGUAGCCACCUGAUCUACCAUCAAUGAACCCUAUGGAGAUGGGCUGCCACAGCGCUAAGAUUUAUGGUUGACAAAUGGCAAUUAUAAUAACUAAAGAAA